UACAGAGGGGGCAAGCGUUGUUCGGAAUUACUGGGCGUAAAGGGCGCGUAGGCGGCCGCCUAAGUCAGACGUGAAAUCCCUCGGCUCAACCGGGGAACUGCGUCUGAUACUGGGUGGCUUGAAUCCGGGAGAGGGAUGCGGAAUUCCAGGUGUAGCGGUGAAAUGCGUAGAUAUCUGGAGGAACACCGGUGGCGAAGGCGGCAUUCUGGACUGUAACUGACACUGAGGAACGAAAGCCAGGGGAGCAAACGGG
This 253-nucleotide ribosomal RNA is filed under the name uncultured bacterium. RNAcentral's name for it is "partial 16S ribosomal RNA". It matches the Rfam family "Bacterial small subunit ribosomal RNA", at positions 524 to 776 of the family's 1533-position model. The record is from RNAcentral.